Molecule: transfer RNA, 74 nt
Filed under: Ephedra przewalskii
Lineage: Eukaryota; Viridiplantae; Streptophyta; Gnetopsida; Ephedrales; Ephedraceae
Description: tRNA-Met
Source: RNAcentral
AUUGAUUAUUCCGGAUGAGCUUUUCUCCAGCAUCCAUGGCUGAAUGGUUAAAGCGCCCAACUCAUAAUUGGCGA